CCCGCUGAACUUAAGCAUAUCAAUAAGCGGAGGAAAAGAAACCAACAGGGAUUGCCCUAGUAACGGCGAGUGAAGCGGCAAGAGCUCAAAUUUGAAAUCUGGUCCUAGACCCGAGUUGUAAUUUGUAGAGGAAUGUUCGGCAAUAUCUUUGGUCCAAGUUUUCUGGAACGAAACGUCUUGGAGGGUGAGAACCCCGUACUCGACUGUUAGAUAACGCUAUGUGAACUUCCUUCAAAGAGUCGAGUUGUUUGGGAAUGCAGCUCAAAAUGGGUGGUAAAUUCCAUCUAAAGCUAAAUAUUGGCCAGAGACCGAUAGCGCACAAGUAGAGUGAUCGAAAGAUGAAAAGCACUUUGGAAAGAGAGUGAAACAGUACGUGAAAUUGUUGAAAGGGAAGCGCUUACAACCAGACUUGUAUUCAAGUGUUCCGCUCAUCAUUUGAUGGGUUCACUCAUUUGGAUCAGGCCAACAUCGGUUUUGAUGACUGAAUAAAGGUUUAAGGAAUGUGACAUUCUUCGGGAUGUGUUAUAGCCUUUUACAUAAUACAGUCAAUUUGGACCGAGGAUCGCGUUUUGCUUGGAUGUUGGCAUAAUGGUUGUUAGCGGCCCGUCUUGAAACACGG
This 619-nucleotide ribosomal RNA is filed under the name uncultured fungus. RNAcentral describes it as "eukaryotic LSU rRNA". It matches the Rfam family "Eukaryotic large subunit ribosomal RNA", at positions 24 to 664 of the family's 3401-position model. The record is from RNAcentral. Lineage: Eukaryota; Fungi.